CCUACGGGAGGCAGCAGUGGGGAAUAUUGCACAAUGGGCGAAAGCCUGAUGCAGCAACGCCGCGUGAGUGAUGAAGGCCUUCGGGUUGUAAAGCUCUGUCUUUGGGGACGAUAAUGACGGUACCCAAGGAGGAAGCCACGGCUAACUACGUGCCAGCAGCCGCGGUAAUACGUAGGUGGCAAGCGUUGUCCGGAUUUACUG
This 201-nucleotide ribosomal RNA is filed under the name uncultured bacterium. RNAcentral describes it as "partial 16S ribosomal RNA". It matches the Rfam family "Bacterial small subunit ribosomal RNA", at positions 338 to 556 of the family's 1533-position model. The record is from RNAcentral.